UACGUAGGGCGCAAGCGUUGUCCGGAAUUAUUGGGCGUAAAGAGCUCGUAGGCGGCCUGUUGCGUCCGCUGUGAAAUCCCGGGGCUUAACCCCGGGCGUGCAGUGGAUACGGGCAGGCUGGAGGCAGGCAGGGGAGAACGGAAUUCCCGGUGUAGCGGUGAAAUGCGUAGAUAUCGUCUGGAACGCCGAAGGUGAAAACAGCUCGCUGGGGCUGCGCUGACGCUGAGACACGAAAGCCAGGGGAGCGAACGGG
Molecule: ribosomal RNA, 253 nt
Filed under: uncultured bacterium
Lineage: Bacteria
Description: partial 16S ribosomal RNA
Rfam family: Bacterial small subunit ribosomal RNA
Source: RNAcentral